This 516-nucleotide ribosomal RNA is filed under the name uncultured bacterium. RNAcentral's name for it is "bacterial SSU rRNA". It matches the Rfam family "Bacterial small subunit ribosomal RNA", at positions 21 to 518 of the family's 1533-position model. The record is from RNAcentral.
GUGUCAGAACGAACGCUGCGGCGUGCUUAACACAUGCAAGUCGAACGCGAAAGGGACUUCGGUCCUGAGUAAAGUGGCGCACGGGUGAGUAACGCGUAGAUAACCUGUCUUCAUGUCUGGAAUAAUACGCCGAAAGGGGUACUAAUACCGGAUAUUCUUGCUUUUCAUAAGUUAUGCAAGCAAAGGUGGCCUCUGCAUAUGCUACUGCAUGAAGAGGGGUCUGCGUACCAUUAGCUAGUAGGUGGGGUAAUGGCCUACCUAGGCGACGAUGGUUAGCGGGUCUGAGAGGAUGAUCCGCCACACUGGCACUGGAACACGGGCCAGACUCCUACGGGAGGCAGCAGUGAGGAAUAUUGCGCAAUGGGGGAAACCCUGACGCAGCGACGCCGCGUGAGUGAGGAAGGCCUUCGGGUCGUAAAGCUCUGUCAAGAGGAAAGAAGUGUACAAUGGCUAAUACCUGUUGUAUUUGACGGUACCUCUAAAGGAAGCACCGGCUAACUCCGUGCCAGCCGCCGC